AUGUCUUCACCGAGGAGGCUUUCCUGGGUCGUGCUGAGGAAGCACGUCCCGGUCUUCGACGCCGAGGAGAAGGAGCAGGAAGACAAGAUCAUGGCCGAGGCGAGCAAAGAUUGGGGGAACAUCGAGGAUGGGUCCUGGAUACUGGACCAGUUCUCACUCGACGCGCACCUCGUGGAGCCGCCGGAGCUCUCCACCUUGUCCGUGCGCGCCAAGAUCGAGACGCAGGAGCGCGGCAUCGGGUGCGUCCUCGACUCCGUCGUGGAGAACUACCUCGUCAUGACUCUGGUGUUCUGCGACAGGUGGUACGGGCUCGUCUACGACGCCGCCAAGAACUCGCUCUCGCUGCUCCCCGCCACCAUGGAUUCCUUCGAGGGCUACGACUUCGCGUCGAGAGUUGAUUCUGUGCCCUUCUUCUUCCUGAGGCCACCUGCUGUCCUGCCACGCGACGACGGUUCCUACGAUCUGUUCAAUCUGGGGUUCCGUUUCGCUACACGCGACAGAGUGUUGCAGGGGUCGUCGGGCAUCAUCUUCCGGUGGUGGAGCCAUGCCGCUGGCAAGAAGUGGACGAAGCAGGAGGCGCGCUUCAGCCCGCAUACCCAGGUGCCGCGCCAGCCGGCUUACAAAGUAGACGCGGCCUUCACUUUCAAAGGGAAGGAGUGCCAAGGCCGUGACUUCUCCCGCAGUUACCCCAAGGACCGUCGGACCAUGGGCCCUGUCGGGGACUCCAUAAAGCUCAUCUCCAUCGUCACCAUCAGUGGCGACAACCCCCGUGACAACACGCCCCCUGCCGAUGUCGUGUUGCGGAGCUGGACCCUGUCGCCAGAUCUCCGCUCAUGGACGAGAGACCAAGACAUGGAGCUGCCCUUGCCCCUGCUCUGGCAGUCGGAGGUCUACAAGCGCGAGAGGCUGCCGCAGGCCAUGCCGCAGUGCCCAGUCCUCAAGGCCGACGAGGAUGGUGUCCUUUACCUCUUGCUGGGAGAUUACUACCUCGAUUGGGAGAGAAGGGCUCGGCUAUGCAGGGAGAUUGAGUGUGUGAUCAGCAUCGACAUGCGCACAAAGUCUCUCCUGUCCUGCAGCCAUCGUCCGAUCAAAGAUGGCUUGCCGGCGCCAGCGCCAUGGGAAGAAGUCCAGCCUUCCAAAGAUUUCCAUCCUGACAUACCUUCCCUGGUUGCUGCCAAGUUCUGCGCGAACCACACUGGAUGGUCUCAUUGUCUUCUCCACAAGGAAAAGAAGAAUCGUCUGAUAUACUGUAGAUGGUAA
Molecule: ribosomal RNA, 1260 nt
Filed under: Triticum aestivum (bread wheat)
Lineage: Eukaryota; Viridiplantae; Streptophyta; Magnoliopsida; Poales; Poaceae
Description: partial small subunit ribosomal RNA
Source: RNAcentral